UACGUAGGGGGCGAGCGUUGUCCGGAUUUAUUGGGCGGAAAGAGCGUGUAGGCGGCCAGGUAGGUCCGUUGUGAAAACUCGAGGCUCAACCUCGAGACGUCGGCGGAAACCCUCUGGCUAGAGUCCGGAAGAGGAGAGUGGAAUUCCUUGUGUAGCGGUGAAAUGCGCAGAUAUCAGGAAGAACACCCGUUGCGAAGGCGGCUCUCUGGGACGGUACUGACGCUGAGACGCGAAAGCGUGGGGAGCAAACAGG
Molecule: ribosomal RNA, 253 nt
Filed under: uncultured bacterium
Lineage: Bacteria
Description: partial 16S ribosomal RNA
Rfam family: Bacterial small subunit ribosomal RNA
Source: RNAcentral